UCGGGAAUUUUGGGCAAUGGGCGAAAGCCUGACCCAGCAACGCCGCGUGAAGGAUGAAGUAUUUCGGUAUGUAAACUUCGUAAGAAUAGGAAGAAUAAAUGACAGUACUAUUUGUAAGGUCCGGCUAACUACGUGCCAGCAGCCGCGGUAAUACGUAGGGACCAAGCGUUGUUCGGAUUUACUGGGCGUAAAGGGCGCGUAGGCGGUUUAUCAAGUCAGUUGUGAAAUCUCCGAGCUUAACCCGGAACGGUCAACUGAUACUGUCAAACUAGAGUACAGAAGGGGCAAUCGGAAUUCUUGGUGUAGCGGUGAAAUGCGUAGAUAUCAAGAGGAACACCUGAGGCGAAGGCGGGUUGCUGGGCUGAUACUGACGCUGAAGCGCGAAAGCUAGGGUAGCAAACGGGAUUAGAUACCCUAGUAGUCCCUGAGCGGGCUGGCAAGGCGCAU
RNAcentral lists this ribosomal RNA (447 nucleotides) under uncultured bacterium. RNAcentral describes it as "bacterial SSU rRNA". It matches the Rfam family "Bacterial small subunit ribosomal RNA", at positions 355 to 825 of the family's 1533-position model. The record is from RNAcentral.